Molecule: ribosomal RNA, 497 nt
Filed under: uncultured bacterium
Lineage: Bacteria
Description: partial 16S ribosomal RNA
Rfam family: Bacterial small subunit ribosomal RNA
Source: RNAcentral
GAUGAACGCUGGCGGCGUGCCUAAUACAUGCAAGUCGAGCGAACAGACGAGGAGCUUGCUCCUCUGACGUUAGCGGCGGACGGGUGAGUAACACGUGGAUAACCUACCUAUAAGACUGGGAUAACUUCGGGAAACCGGAGCUAAUACCGGAUAAUAUAUUGAACCGCAUGGUUCAAUAGUGAAAGACGGUUUUGCUGUCACUUAUAGAUGGAUCCGCGCCGCAUUAGCUAGUUGGUAAGGUAACGGCUUACCAAGGCAACGAUGCGUAGCCGACCUGAGAGGGGGAUCGGCCACACUGGAACUGAGACACGGUCCAGACUCCUACGGGAGGCAGCAGUAGGGAAUCUUCCGCAAUGGGCGAAAGCCUGACGGAGCAACGCCGCGUGAGUGAUGAAGGUCUUCGGAUCGUAAAACUCUGUUAUUAGGGAAGAAUAAAUGUGUAAGUAACUAUGCACGUCUUGACGGUACCUAAUCAGAAAGCCACGGCUAACUACGUG